Long non-coding RNA from Astyanax mexicanus (Mexican tetra), 1187 nucleotides. RefSeq lists it as uncharacterized. Lineage: Eukaryota; Metazoa; Chordata; Actinopteri; Characiformes; Acestrorhamphidae. The transcript is spliced from 5 exons. The record is from RefSeq and is a predicted model, not a curated record.
GUUUUUAGGUGGAGCUCUUUAGGGAACUGGGAGUGCUGGUUUUUAGGUGGAGCUCUUUAGGGAACUGGGAGUGCUGGUUUUUAGGUGGAGUUCUUUAGGGAAAUGGGAGUGCUGGUUUUUAGAUGGAGUUCUUUAGGGAACUCGGAGUGCUGGUUUUUAGGUGGAGCUCUUUAGGGAACUGGGAGUGCUGUUUUUUAGGCGGAGUUCUUUAGGGAACUGGGAGUGCUGGUUUUUAGGGGGAGUUCUUUAGGGAACUGGGAGUGCUGGUUUUUAGGCGGAGUUCUUUAGGGAACUGGGAGUGCUGUUUUUUAGGCGGAGUUCUUUAGGGAACUGGGAGUGCUGGUUUUUAGGGGGAGUUCUUUAGGGAACUGGGAGUGCUGUUUUUUAGGCGGAGUUCUUUAGGGAACUGGGAGUGCUGGCUUUUAGGUGCCGUUCUUUAGGGAACUGGGAGUGCUGGUUUUUAGGUGGAGCUCUUUAGGGAAAUGGGAGUGCUGGUUUUUAGGUGGAGCUCUUUAGGGAACUGGGAGAACUGGGAACUGGGAAAUGGGAGUGCUGUUUUUUAGGUGGAGUUCUUUAGGGAACUCGGAGUGCUGGUUUUUAGGUGGAGCUCUUUAGGGAAAUGGGAGUGCUGGUUUUUAGGUGGAGCUCUUUAGGGAACUGGGAGUGCUGGUUUUUAGGUGGAGUUCUUUAGGGAACUGGGAGUGCUGUUUUUUAGGCGGAGUUCUUUAGGGAACUGGGAGUGCUGUUUUUUAGGCGGAGUUCUUUAGGGAACUGGGAGUGCUGGUUUUUAGGCGGAGUUCUUUAGGGAACUGGGAGUGCUGGUUUUUAGGUGGAGUUCUUUAGGGAACUGGGAGUGCUGGUUUUUAGGUGAAGCUCUUUAGGGAACUGGGAGUGCUGUUUUUUAGGUGGAGCUCUUUAGGGAACUGGGAGUGCUGGUUUUUAGGUGGAGUUCUUUAGGGAACUGGGAGUGCUGUUUUUUAGGUGAAGCUCUUUAGGGAACUGGGAGUGCUGUUUUUUAGGUGGAGCUCUUUAGGGAACUGGGAGUGCUGGUUUUUAGGUGGAGUUCUUUAGGGAACUGGGAGUGCUGUUUUUUAGGUGGAGUUCUUUAGGGAACUGGGAGUGCUGGUUUUUAGGUGGAGCUCUUUAGGGAACUGGGAGUGCUGGUGCUGGUUUUAGGUGGAGCUCUU